This is a long non-coding RNA of Tachysurus fulvidraco (yellow catfish), 2984 nucleotides long. RefSeq lists it as uncharacterized. The transcript is spliced from 9 exons. Lineage: Eukaryota; Metazoa; Chordata; Actinopteri; Siluriformes; Bagridae. The record is from RefSeq and is a predicted model, not a curated record.
GCUCUGAGUAAGUUUGAGGGCGCGCGUCGACGCAGUUCACUCACAAGUUGGCUGACAUGUAGAAGACAAACGAGGAGACAAACCACAACAUGGAUUUAUUGCUGUCUUUUGAUUCGUAUGGCGGAGUUUGUGAACUUCUUUUGCACGGUGCUUCAGCUGGAAAUGCUGUUGGGCAGGAUGCUAACUGAAUUUGUGUAAUUUAAAGGAGGUAAUAAAAACCCUGCUGUCAUGCUGAAGAAGUCUCAGUUCACACAAUCUCAUCUGAUUCUUGAAUCAUAACGAACCGACUCAGCAGCUCACCGAAGGAGCCAGCAGUGUGUCUGCACCAGUUCCCUGAAUAUCAGACAUCCACAUGCAGCCGGGGAUUUCGUUCUUUUUUUUUUUUUUUCUCAUUACCCUCUUCAUUCCUCAGCAGUCAUGAAAAGAGAAGUCCAACUGCACCAUAAACAGCCAGAGCUAAUCACCACAGCUGCUUUCUCUCAUCACUCCGGAUUAAGCUGCGUCAUGGAAACAGUGGCUCAAAUGACAAGUCAUGCAAAGUCAUUAAGUCCAUCCAUAUCAUGGUGAACUGGGGACUUGGAGCACGGCUACCUGAGCUUUAACCCGAGCUACAACUUCACGUAUCGGCAAAACACAGCAAAGAACUUCAAACAAAAAAAAUACAACCAGGAAUCAAUCAGACCUUUACUAGAAUAAACAUGCCGUAGUGUGUGUGUGUGUGUGUGUGUGUGUGCGUGUGUGUGAGGAAGUUCACAUGUAUUCUGAUGUCUAACUGAACCUUCAGAUAUUCUUCCAUGUUCAUGCUGCAGUUUAAUGUCAUGCUUACAAAGCUCUUGUGUGGACCUUUUGCUCGUCUAACUAACACUAGCUCAGCUGUCACAGCCGAUCAGACCUUAAUCAUCACUCUCAUAACUCUCACAUUAACUCUCACUGCUCUUCACCUCUAUACCUGAAACCAUGCAAUCUUCAUCAGCUGCAGCUUUUUCUCACUGUUUCACUUCUUUUGUUUUUGUUCAAGCAGUUCAACACCAGGACUGCAGUACGUUCACACGAUCCACACACUGAUUGACUCUUCAGAACCCACCCAGUGUUAGUUAGUUAUCUGGUGGUAAAGGGCAAAUCAAAUCCACCGAGGACUGGUGUGUAGGAUGGAUGGUGUAAGAGCACUGCAGAGACCUGGUUCUUUGGCCUCGUGUCCCCACUGUGGAGCGUGUGGUCCUCGGGCAGCUGGGUUGUUAUUUCUGUAGGAGAACCGGAUGCUCCUGCAGGUCCUGAGGAAACGCAGUGUGCCAUGUGGUCUACGCUGUGGAGCGAUGUUUACAGACACGGCAUGUCCUGAUCAAUAUCUUUCAACAAGUGAGAUACCCUGCAUGCUCUGCAAGGUCUUUGUAGAAACCAAGAGGAUGAGAGAGAAGUUCUACAGAAACAGGAGCUGAUGAGACACAGCCUGUCAGUUUGGAUCAAGGUGCAGAAUAACAUCUGUCACUGCAUCAUAGUCACGAUGGCAAAGACCAUGCUGCUCACCUCCAACAUUCGGACCCUUCUGCGUCUCCAAAACCAUGUUUAUGGUAAUAGGCACUUCAGCUUGCCCACACAUCUGUCAUGUCGGCGCAGACGAGACGAUCAGACAUCACGGAGCCAGAUCAACAGAGGACCUCUCUUGUUCCACUCACACUGAAGCAGUAGUAAAGAAAGCUCACCCAUGCAUCAUCAUCCUCAUAUGACCAAGAAAGCUUGGUAUGAUCCCCAAUAUCUUCACAUCAUUCUACACCUGCACCACGGAAAGCAUCUUGACUGGCUGCAUCACCAACUGGUAUAAUAACAACUCCGUUCACAACCCUUCAACAACACUCCAGCACAUGGUGGAAGAAGUCGGAGACUCACCACGGACUGCUCUCACUGCUCCCAUCAGGCAGACAGUAUCAAGCACAGUAUCAGAUCUCUCACCAACAGGCUGCAGGACAAUCAGACUGGUGAUGGUGCAGGGUAUGGAAGAUACAGUGGGUUGUACAUGUGGUAUAUUAGUUUUUUAUAUAUAUAUAUAUAUAUAUAUAUAUAUAUAUAUAUAUAUAUAUAUAUAUAUAUAUAUAUAGCUUUUCUAUUCACUUUUCACUUUCUCACUUACUAGAUACUGAACUGAUAUCAGUUUUUGUCAUGUUCAUAUCGCUUAAAGAAUAUCGCACAUAAUGCAUGUGCAGUAUGGUACAGUAUGUGAAGCAUCUCUCACUCUGUCACUGUAUGGCUGUAUACAGUCUGUACAGUUUAUUAUUAUUUAACUUGUUUUGAACAUUUGUCAGUGUUUAAAGUUAUGCUACGUUUUCAUUGUGUAAGUGAGACUUGUCACUUUGAUUAUUACACUGUGUCUGUGUAGAAGAGUACAACGGUAACACAAGCAUUUUAUUGUGUAUAUAUAUGCUGAAAAAACUUUGUUUGUAUACAUGACAAUAAACUGGAAACUAAAAUGCAGUAACAAUUCAGAGAAAAGGCAUCACAUAAGUUCAGUUUUAGCCUCUUCUUAAUUGUAAACCUCCAGGAAUGAUGGAUUAUGUGUGGAUGAAUCUGAAUGAAGGAAACAUUGGAAUUGUGCUAGCUCAGACAUGACGUUGGACCACGGAUCGACCUUUAUACCUUUAUUUAUCCCUUUAUAUAUACCUUUAUACCUUAAGUGUCCACUGCUGGGCCCUUGCACAAGGCCCUUAACCCACACUUGUAUAAAAAUGAGAUAAAAUGUAAUUUGCUCUGAAUAAGGGUGUCUGCCAAAUGCUGUAAAAGAGCACAUAUAGCUGAGUAUAAGCACAACACAGCUGUAGUAAAUGAGGAUGUGAUGUUUGAUGUCCGAUCUGUUCGUUGUGAUGUCCCCACUAACCUCUGUAGUCCCACAGUUUAGCCACUUGUUACUGGUCGCCUUUUUCACAAGACAUAAAAGCUUGAUAUUGAUGUAUUACUUAUGUUGUUGAAUAAAAGGUGAAAAUAUUUUGACCUCA